CCCUUGUCCUUAGUUACCAGCACGUUAUGGUGGGCACUCUAAGGAGACUGCCGGUGACAAACCCGGAGGAAGGUGGGGAUGACGUCAAGUCAUCAUGGCCCUUACGGCCUGGGCUACACACGUGCUACAAUGGUCGGUACAAAGGGUUGCCAAGCCGCGAGGUGGAGCUAAUCCCAUAAAACCGAUCGUAGUCCGGAUCGCAGUCUGCAACUCGACUGCGUGAAGUCGGAAUCGCUAGUAAUCGUGAAUCAGAAUGUCACGGUGAAUACGUUCCCGGGCCUU
Molecule: ribosomal RNA, 282 nt
Filed under: uncultured Pseudomonas sp.
Lineage: Bacteria; Pseudomonadati; Pseudomonadota; Gammaproteobacteria; Pseudomonadales; Pseudomonadaceae
Description: partial 16S ribosomal RNA
Rfam family: Bacterial small subunit ribosomal RNA
Source: RNAcentral